Molecule: ribosomal RNA, 283 nt
Filed under: uncultured bacterium
Lineage: Bacteria
Description: partial 16S ribosomal RNA
Rfam family: Bacterial small subunit ribosomal RNA
Source: RNAcentral
GUGGAUUAGAUACCCUGGUAGUCCACGCCCUAAACGUUGGAUACUAGAUGUUGGCGAUAUAAUGUCAGCGUCGUAGCGAAAGCGUUAAGUAUCCCACCUGGGGAGUACGCUCGCAAGGGUGAAACUCAAAGGAAUUGACGGGGGCCCGCACAAGCGGAGGAGUAUGUGGUUUAAUUCGAUGCUACGCGAAGAACCUUACCUAGGCUAGAAUGUGCGAGAAGACAGGAGAAAUUCUGUUGUCCUUCGGGACUCAAAACAAGGUGUUGCACGGCUGUCGACAACU